This 253-nucleotide ribosomal RNA is filed under the name uncultured bacterium. Its description in RNAcentral is "partial 16S ribosomal RNA". It matches the Rfam family "Bacterial small subunit ribosomal RNA", at positions 524 to 776 of the family's 1533-position model. The record is from RNAcentral.
UACGAAGGGGGCUAGCGUUGCUCGGAAUCACUGGGCGUAAAGCGCACGUAGGCGGAUUGCUAAGUCAGGGGUGAAAUCCUGGAGCUCAACUCCAGAACUGCCCUUGAUACUGGCGGUCUCGAGUCCGGGAGAGGUGAGUGGAACUGCGAGUGUAGAGGUGAAAUUCGUAGAUAUUCGCAAGAACACCAGUGGCGAAGGCGGCUCACUGGCCCGGUACUGACGCUGAGAUACGAAAGCGUGGGGAGCAAACAGG